AGAGUUUGAUCCUGGCUCAGGACGAACGCUGGCGGCGCGCCUAACACAUGCAAGUCGAACGAACCAGAUAGAUCUUGCUUUCUCGAUCAAGUGGAUAACGGGUGAGUAACGCAUGAGGAACCUGCCUCAAGAGAGGGGGACAACAGUUGGAAACGACUGCUAAUACCACUUAAGCCCACUGGCGUCGGCAUCAACCAGAGGGAUAAGGAGCAAUCUGCUAUGAGAUGGCCUCGCGUCUGAUUAGCUAGUUGGUGAGGUAACGGCUCACCAAGGCAACGAUCGGUAGCCGGCCUGAGAGGUUGACCGGCCACAUUGGGACUGAGACACGGCCCAGACUCCUACGGGAGGCAGCAGUGGGGAAUAUUGCACAAUGGGGGAAACCCUGAUGCAGCGACGCCGCGUGAAGGAAGAAGGUCUUCGGAUUGUAAACUCCUGUUGUCGAGGAAGAUAAUGACGGUACUCAACAAGGAAGCGCCGGCUAAAUACGUGCCAGCAGCCGCGGUAAAACGUAGGUCACAAGCGUUGUCCGGAAUUACUGGGUGUAAAGGGAGCGCAGGCGGGAAGACAAGUUGGAAGUGAAAUCCAUGGGCUCAACCCAUGAACUGCUUUCAAAACUGUUUUUCUUGAGUAGUGCAGAGGUAGGCGGAAUUCCUGGUGUAGCGGUGGAAUGCGUAGAUAUUGGGAGGAACACCAGUGGCGAAGGCGGCUUACUGGGCACCAACUGACGUUGAGGCUCGAAAGUGUGGGUAGCAAACAGGAUUAGAUACCCUGGUAGUCCACACCGUAAACG
Molecule: ribosomal RNA, 790 nt
Filed under: uncultured bacterium
Lineage: Bacteria
Description: bacterial SSU rRNA
Rfam family: Bacterial small subunit ribosomal RNA
Source: RNAcentral